GUGAGAUUGUCAGCAAAAAAGGGAAUGUACAAGUGAUUAAUUUCACAAUUAAAGUGAGUUAAACAACAUGUUUUCUAUCGAGUUGAUUUCAAUUUUUACACUUGGUUUGGAGUAUUUCCAAUUAGUCAGAGAGUUAAUAACUCUACGGAGGAACAAAUUGAACUGAUGGGUUCCUUGCAAAAUUUUAGGAUUCUUUGAUGCAUCUUUCAAAAACAGG
Molecule: long non-coding RNA, 217 nt
Organism: Leptopilina heterotoma
Lineage: Eukaryota; Metazoa; Arthropoda; Insecta; Hymenoptera; Figitidae
Exons: 3
Source: RefSeq, a predicted model, not a curated record